Long non-coding RNA from Erinaceus europaeus (western European hedgehog), 467 nucleotides. RefSeq lists it as uncharacterized. The transcript has 2 exons. The record is from RefSeq and is a predicted model, not a curated record. NCBI's taxonomy places the organism in Eukaryota, Metazoa, Chordata, Mammalia, Eulipotyphla, Erinaceidae.
AGUGACCUCAUAGGAGCUCAGAGAUCUACCCAGAAACCCUCUGGGUGACAUGUGUCCCCACUUAUUCUGGGAAGAAGGAAUCCCGCAAGAGGCAACAGCGUUCUGACUUGGUCCGUUUCUUCCGGUGUUACUACUGCACUGCAGUCUAGCGACAGUAAAGAGAAGGACGAACAGCGGAUAACAUCCUACUCAGAGACAGAAAUCAAGAAGCAAGGACAGGAAGAGAAAACAUCAUGGUGAGACUUGGACCAGGUCUUUCUCCCCAGCAAGGGGCUCUGGGGAAGGAGAAGUACUCCGUACUUACGGUCAUUUUCUUCUUGAAUUUGAAGAUUAACCAUAUCAACACAAUUCUGAAUUUCAUUCCAGCUUAAGCUAUCUUGUCCCUGUGAUGAGGCUUCCAGUUUAACAGAGAGUAGUGCAUUUGCAUAACUGUGGAAGAGAUUUAAAAAAUAGUUUGAUACCAAUCA